Molecule: ribosomal RNA, 1361 nt
Filed under: Colochela zhongi
Lineage: Eukaryota; Metazoa; Arthropoda; Insecta; Hymenoptera; Tenthredinidae
Description: 16S ribosomal RNA
Source: RNAcentral
AAYUUUAUAAUUAUUAUUGARAUUGAAAAUAUUUAUUAAUAAUUUUAAUAAAAAUAAUUUUUAAUUAUUAUGGUUUAAGUAUAUUUUAUAGAAAAAAUUUUUAUAAUGAUAAUAUAUUUGUAUUGAAAAAGAAUUUUGAAAAAAAWUUAAUUUAAAAUUAUGAAUAAGUAAAUUUUAUUUAUUGUACCUUGUGUAUCAGGGUUUAUUUAAAAAARGAUAAUAAUAAUUAUUUUUCUCGAAUUUAAAAGAUCUAUUUUAAAWUAUAUAUAUUAAUAUAUAAUUUUUAUUGUGGAAAAAAUAUUUUUAAUAUUAAAAUAGUAAUGAAAUGUUAUUCGUUUUUAAAGAUAUCUAGUUUUUUAAUAAAUGAAUUUAAUUCAGAUAUUACAUUUUAAAUAUAAAAANNNUUNNUUUUAAUUUURUUGUAAUAUUAAUAUUUUAAGGGAUAAGCUUUAAAAUAAAAUUUUAAAAUAUUGAUUUAAAAAUUAAAGAUAUUUAUAGACUUAGAAAUAGUUUUUAUUAUAAAAAUGUUAUAAUUUUUAUUUUUAAUAAAUAUGAUUUUAYUUUAAAAUUUAAAUUUUUAUUAAAAUAAAUUAAAUAAUAAUAAUUUAAUUAAAAUAAUGAUAAAAUUAGUAAAUAAAAAAAAAUGUUAAAAAUUUAUUUAUUUAAUUAAAGGUUAAAUAAAGGAAUUCGGCAAAAUUUAUAUUCACCUGUUUAACAAAAACAUGUCUUUUUGAAUUUAAUUUAAAGUCUAAUCUGCUCUAUGAAUUUUUAAAUGGCUGCAGUAUCUUGACUGUACAAAGGUAGCAUAAUAAUUAGUCUUUUAAUUAAAGGCUGGAAUGAAUGAUUGUAUGAAAUAUAAACUGUCUCUUUUUAAUUAUUAGUUUAAUUUAAUUUUUAAGUUAAAAAGCUUAAAUUUUAUUAAAGGACGAGAAGACCCUAUAGAGUUUUAUAAUUAAAUAUUAUAUAAAAUUUUAAUUUAUUUUUAUAUAUAAUUUAUUAUUUUAUUGGGGCGAUAGAAAAAUUUAAUAAACUUUUUUAUUAUUUUUACAUUAAUUUAUGAAUUUUUGAUCCUUAUUUUUAGAUUAUUAGAUUAAAUUACCUUAGGGAUAACAGCGUUAUUUUUUUUAGAGUUCUUAUUGAUAAUAAAGAUUGCGACCUCGAUGUUGGAUUAAAAUUUAAUUUAGGUGAAGAAGCUUAAAUUUUAGGUCUGUUCGACCUUUARUAUUUUACAUGAUCUGAGUUCAAACCGGUGUAAGCCAGGUUGGUUUCUAUCCUUAAUUAUUUAAAAUAUUUUAGUACGAAAGGACCAAAUUUUUAAAAUAUUAUUUUAUUAAUUAAUAAUUUUAUUAAUUUAUUUAUUA